CUGCAGCUUCGGCGGAGGAGACUCUUGGAAUAAACCGCUGCCACGUCGUCCGCUGCCCUGGGAUAAAGCAGCAGGGUGUAAAUUGGACGCGUACAAGUCGCAGUUUCGGCGGCGGUGUGGCAUGGACCGUUGUGCUGUACAGGCUGCAGUCAUUCGACGCGCAGGUCGGAUUCAGUGUCGAUGACUCCAGCCAUCUGAGUGUCGCAUAUUUUGCAAGGAACGUUGCAGUUCUGGGUGUGGAAUAAGGCGGAAAGGUAAGCAGACAUUUCUUUGGCUGCUGGUUUGUCCUGACUGCAAGAAGAAACGACGUAGCCGCUGCUCUUAUGUAGGGCAGAGAGCGCCACCCGGCAAGAUUGCAUUCCGGACCUCCUUACUCCCGCUGGCUUGUGGCACAUUUAUAGCCCGCUGGCGGGCCGGCGCAACCU
This is a long non-coding RNA of Schistocerca cancellata (South American locust), 425 nucleotides long. RefSeq lists it as uncharacterized. The transcript is spliced from 4 exons. Lineage: Eukaryota; Metazoa; Arthropoda; Insecta; Orthoptera; Acrididae. The record is from RefSeq and is a predicted model, not a curated record.